CAAUAGCGUAUAUUUAAGUUGUUGCAGUUAAAAAGCUCGUAGUUGGAUUUCGGGUGGGACGCAGCGGUCUCGCAUUGCGUUUGUACUGCUGCAGCCCUCCUUCUUGCCGGGGGCGGCCUCUCGGACUUCACUGUCUGGGGGUCAGAAUCGGCGAUGUUACUUUGAGUAAAUUAGAGUGUUCAAAGCAAGCUUACGCUCUGAAUAUAAUAGCAUGGGAUAACACGACAGGACUCUGGCCUAUCGUGUUGGUCUAUAGGACCAGAGUAAUGAUUAAGAGGGACAGUCGGGGGCAUUCGUAUUCCGUUGUCAGGGGUGAAAUUCUUGGAUUUACGGAAGACGAACAUCUGCGAAAGCAUUUGCCAAGGAUGUUUNCAUUGA
This 378-nucleotide ribosomal RNA is filed under the name uncultured eukaryote. RNAcentral's name for it is "partial 18S ribosomal RNA". It matches the Rfam family "Eukaryotic small subunit ribosomal RNA", at positions 592 to 976 of the family's 1831-position model. The record is from RNAcentral.